UCAAGCACGUUUGUGUAAUAUCUCAUCUGGCUGUUGUAAGGAUCAAGUGAGGGAGAGGAGAGAGCAGAUGUUAUGAAGCUCAUUUUACAGUGGAAGAAACUGAGGCUCAGAAUGCAUCAAGAGGCACACAGCAAUACAGCUGGAGUCAGGAAGAGGCAUCGGGAUGAUUCAAAACUCUGGUUCUGCCCUGGAGUGACUUCAAGCUGAGGACAUUCCAACUCAGAGGGCCUCAGCUGCAGAACCAACUGGACUCCAGUGUUGCAGACCAGUGAGGAUGGAAAUGCUUGCAAGACCAAGAUGGACAACGUUGAAAUGGCCUCAAGCCUGCUACUAAGACUGGCGCUUGUGGGGGAGAAUAUUUGGUCCAGUAUUCAGAGUCUAAAGGGUAGAGACAGGGAGGAUUUGUUUCAGGCAGAUAACAAUAACCCUGAAGGUCCAGUCCAGCAGGCAGGGCAUACCUGAGAUGCAGGCAACAGGUAACAUGCAAAGUCAGAUGCACAGUGGGAUGUGGUUUGAGAGAUGAGUGACACCCCCUCAGUGAGAUUUCCACAACCAUCUGUGGGAUGGGGAACUGAGGCCAUUCUAGCUCCUUAGGAAGGGGCAAGAGCUCGCUGGAUGCAGGGGCCAGGUGUAUAAGAGUAUUGGGUGGGAAUCAGAUGAAGCGAGGACCAGGAGAGAUUGACAGGGGGCUGAGGGUCAGGCCUAGACACUGAGCCAGCAGGCAGCACAGGGGACCGGUGACGCCACGGCUUAUCACAAGCACAAAGCCCUGAGAUGGACUAGUCCCUAAUUUCAGACCUCUAGCUGUGGAUAGCUAACAUAUUUUCUUUCUCUGGGAUAAAUUAGAUGAGGACCUGGGAAGACCGCGUUUUCUGGGAGAAGCCCUGGAAUACAAGAUUUAAUAUACUUAAAGGGAGCUCACAUUCCCAUCAACCUGGAGCAACUCACCUGGGAAUGUCUGAGUUGGCUUCAAAGUCUCAGCCAAAUCCAGACCUAUCUAAGGAAUGUGGAAGCUGAAACCAACUUCACCUGGAUCUUUGCCUUGUGGUAACAUCCUUGCCCUAUGAGUUGCUGCCUGCAUAUAUGGAAGUAGAAGAGAGGAGACACUGUUUUAGACAAACAUAUAACAUAAAUGAUUUUAUUAUGAAAUUAAAUAAUUACAUAGAUACAUUAGAGCAAAAUUAUUUUAUCUGAAUUGUAUUUUGACCCGUGCAUCCUAUUCAACAACAAUCUUUGUAAAAAAAAUUUACCCUCCUCCAAAACAUUUAUUCAGUUAAAAUGUGAGUGACUAA
Molecule: long non-coding RNA, 1292 nt
Organism: Sapajus apella (tufted capuchin)
Lineage: Eukaryota; Metazoa; Chordata; Mammalia; Primates; Cebidae
Exons: 2
Source: RefSeq, a predicted model, not a curated record